Molecule: long non-coding RNA, 1546 nt
Organism: Ficedula albicollis (Collared flycatcher)
Lineage: Eukaryota; Metazoa; Chordata; Aves; Passeriformes; Muscicapidae
Source: Ensembl
GGAAAGUACCCUGGAUGGAGCUGGAAAAUACCCGGGAUGGAGCUGGAAAAUAACCGGGAUGGAGCUGGAAAAUACUCGGGAUGGAGCUGGAAAAUAUUCGAGAUGAAGCAGGAAAACACCCGGGAUGGAGCUGGAAAAUAUUCGGGAUGGAGCUGGAAAAUACUCGGGAUGGAGCUGGAAACACUCGGGAUGGAGCUGGAAAAUACCCGGGAUGGAGCUGGAAAAUACUCGGGAUGGAGCUGGAAAAUACCCGGGAUGGAGCUGGAAAAUACUCGGGAUGGAGCUGGAAAAUACCCGGGAUGGAGCUGGAAAAUACUCGGGAUGGAGCUGGAAAAUACCCGGGAUGGAGCUGGAAAAUACUCGGGAUGGAGCUGGAAAAUACCCGGGAUGGAGCUGGAAAAUACUCGGGAUGGAGCUGGAAAAUACCCGGGAUGGAGCUGGAAAAUACUCGGGAUGGAGCUGGAAAAUACCCGGGAUGGAGCUGGAAAAUACUCGGGAUGGAGCUGGAAAAUACCCGGGAUGGAGCUGGAAAAUACUCGGGAUGGAGCUGGAAAAUACCCGGGAUGGAGCUGGAAAAUACUCGGGAUGGAGCUGGAAAAUACCCGGGAUGGAGCUGGAAAAUACUCGGGAUGGAGCUGGAAAAUACCCGGGAUGGAGCUGGAAAAUACUCGGGAUGGAGCUGGAAAAUACUCGGGAUGGAUCCUGAGGAAUUUCAGGAUGGAGCAGGAAAAUACUCGGGAUGGAGCUGGAAAACACCCGGGAUGGAUCCUGAGGAAUUUCGGGAAAACGAAGGAUCCCGGGGUGAAGAUCUGGCUCAUCCCCUGCGCUGCUGGAGGGACAAUUUUGGGACAGUUCUGUCUUAGAGCCCUGGCGCCCUCCCUGCUGCCAGAAAGGGAAUUUUUCAUGGAAAUUUUACCUGGUUUGGCUUCAGCCAUCCCCACAACCACCCAGCGCGCACACACCCCCACACUGUCCCCCCCUCAGCAGCAAUCCCCAAAUUUCCUCCGAAGCAGCACCCUCGUGGCGCUCAGGAAAGCAGGGAUGGAUAAAUCCCAGUGGUCCCUCCACGCCUGGAGCGCUCCCUGCUCCGUCCCCCAGCCCCGGAACACCAAAACCGAGCCCAAAAAAAAGGAGGUGGCACGGGGGAGGAGCAGCUCUCCCUGCGCGGGGCCCCUCUGCUCGCACAUGCCAGGGAACGCUGGGUCGCCGUGGUGACGGAUUAGGGGAUUAGAGGGCUCAGGUGAGCCCUGCGCACGCGAUCCGGUGACAACCCCGGGAAAAACCCCGGGAAAAACCCCGGGAAAAACUCCGGUGAACGGCUCCGAGCCCAGGAGGGACCAGGCACCACCGGGAAAGGGAAGAGUCCCCGUGGAAUGGGAAUUCCGAGGGUCCCCAAGGAAUGGGAAUGCUGAGGGUCCCCAAGGAAUGGGAACACUCAGUGUCCCCAAGGAAUGGGAACAUUCAGUGUCCCCAAGGAAUGGGAAGGGGGGGGGGGGGGGGGGGGGGGGGGGGGGGGGGGGGGGGGGGGGGGGGGGGGGGGGGGGGG